AUGACCAGAGGUACAGGGCUCUUUGUCCCUGCCUUCUUGCUCCAAAUUCACUCUGGAUGCUGGGAGCCCAACAGGACUCCCAGGCUGCUGACAACGAGUCUCAAGCCCAGCUGCUGGAAGGAUGCUGCUCGUAGGCAGCCCCUAGCAUGUCACGGGGAAAACAUUUCCUUCUGCUACGCUUUCCAAGUCACUGAGGGCCUUCUGUGCAAACAGAGACAACUCCGAAUUCCUCCUUGGGGAUCUCCAGCCUGGACGUGGGGCUGGGCCCCCUGCUCGGGGUGGCCCUGCUGGAGCAGGGCUGGCACCACAGGGACCAGCAGCUGCCUGACACCACCAGCCAGUUGGGGAUUUGGGGCUUCCCAUAUUCUAUUGGCACAGAUUUGGUUAAGGUGGGAGAGCUGCUGCCAGUUCCUGAGAGCCACCUCUGGAGGUCAGGCAGGGAUGCUGGCAGAUCCAAACUACAAAGAAGAGUUUAGCUCCUUUGCAGGAGCUUUUGGUGCCUUCUGCUGGGAGAAACCUCAGCAAAUACUUAGAUGUUGCAGUAGGAAGACAAAAUAUCAAGUUUUUCCAUGUGCAUUCAGAAGGGAUGGGACCUGA
This 597-nucleotide long non-coding RNA is filed under the name Anas platyrhynchos platyrhynchos (common mallard). RNAcentral's name for it is "lncRNA (ENSAPLG00000026620.1)". The record is from RNAcentral. Lineage: Eukaryota; Metazoa; Chordata; Aves; Anseriformes; Anatidae.